AGAGUUUGAUCCUGGCUCAGGACGAACGCUGGCGGCGCGCCUAACACAUGCAAGUCGAACGAGCGAGAGAGAGAGCUUUCUCGAGCGAGUGGCGAACGGGUGAGUAACGCGUGAGGAACCUGCCUCAAAGAGGGGGACAACAGUUGGAAACGACUGCUAAUACCGCAUAAGCCCACGGGUCGGCAUCGACCAGAGGGAAAAGGAGCAAUCCGCUUUGAGAUGGCCUCGCGUCCGAUUAGCUAGUUGGUGAGGUAACGGCCCACCAAGGCGACGAUCGGUAGCCGGACUGAGAGGUUGAACGGCCACAUUGGGACUGAGACACGGCCCAGACUCCUACGGGAGGCAGCAGUGGGGAAUAUUGCACAAUGGGGGAAACCCUGAUGCAGCGACGCCGCGUGGAGGAAGAAGGUCUUCGGAUUGUAAACUCCUGUUGUUGAGGAAGAUAAUGACGGUACUCAACAAGGAAGUGACGGCUAACUACGUGCCAGCAGCCGCGGUAAAACGUAGGUCACAAGCGUUGUCCGGAAUUACUGGGUGUAAAGGGAGCGCAGGCGGGAAGACAAGUUGGAAGUGAAAUCCAUGGGCUUAACCCAUGAACUGCUUUCAAAACUGUUUUUCUUGAGUAGUGCAGAGGUAGGCGGAAUUCCGGUGUAGCGGUGGAAUGCGUAGAUAUCGGGAGGAACACCAGUGGCGAAGGCGGCCUACUGGGCACCAACUGACGCUGAGGCUCGAAAGUGUGGGUAGCAAACAGGAUUAGAUACCCUGGUAGUCCACACUGUAAACGAUGAUUACUAGGUGUUGGAGGAUUGACCCCUUCAGUGCCGCAGUUAACACAAUAAGUAAUCCACCUGGGGAGUACGACCGCAAGGUUGAAACUCAAAGGAAUUGACGGGGGCCCGCACAAGCAGUGGAGUAUGUGGUUUAAUUCGACGCAACGCGAAGAACCUUACCAAGUCUUGACAUCCGUUGACCGCUGUAGAAAUACAGUUUUCCUUCGGGACAGCGAGACAGGUGGUGCAUGGUUGUCGUCAGCUCGUGUCGUGAGAUGUUGGGUUAAGUCCCGCAACGAGCGCAACCCUUAUGGUCAGUUACUACGCAAGAGGACUCUGGCCAGACUGCCGUUGACAAAACGGAGGAAGGUGGGGAUGACGUCAAAUCAUCAUGCCCUUUAUGACUUGGGCUACACACGUACUACAAUGGCGUUAAACAAAGAGAAGCAAGACCGCGAGGUGGAGCAAAACUCAGAAACAACGUCCCAGUUCGGACUGCAGGCUGCAACUCGCCUGCACGAAGUCGGAA
This 1299-nucleotide ribosomal RNA is filed under the name metagenome. RNAcentral describes it as "bacterial SSU rRNA". It matches the Rfam family "Bacterial small subunit ribosomal RNA", at positions 8 to 1331 of the family's 1533-position model. The record is from RNAcentral.